CAGUAGCCACGGGAAUACGAAGGGUGCAAGCGUUAAUCGGAAUUACUGGGCGUAAAGCGUGCGUAGGCGGUUUGUUAAGUCUGCUGUGAAAUCCCCGGGCUCAACCUGGGAAUGGCAGUGGAUACUGGCAAGCUAGAGUGUGUCAGAGGAUGGUGGAAUUCCCGGUGUAGCGGUGAAAUGCGUAGAGAUCGGAAGGAACAUCUGUGGCGAAGGCGACUAUCUGGGCCAACACUGACACUGAGGCACGAAAGCGUGGGGAGCAAACAGGAUUAGAGACCCGCGUAGUCCCUGUCUCUUAUAC
Molecule: ribosomal RNA, 301 nt
Filed under: uncultured bacterium
Lineage: Bacteria
Description: partial 16S ribosomal RNA
Rfam family: Bacterial small subunit ribosomal RNA
Source: RNAcentral